UGAAAAUAAUGUUAUAGUAAUAUGUUAGAGGUAAUAUGCAUGUUGAUAAAUUAUGGAACAUGUUGGAUGGCAAAUGAAUGGUUGGUAUAUAUAUAUAGACAUAUUGUGGAAUAUGAGGAAUGAGUGCAUGUUGAUUUAUUAUAGAAUAUACUAGAUGAAUGUAUAUUGACAUAUUGUGGAUUAUGUUAAAUGACACAUGCAUAUUGAACUUGGGUCGAUAAACUCUAGGUGAAUUAGAGAACUCGACAUUGGAAAACAAUGACAUAUGAACUAUGAUAUGUGACGUAGACAAUCUAUAUAUAUUAGAUCGAGUGGCAUAUGAUUAAUAUAGUGGAAACACUUAUGGCAUGUUGAACAUUUAGAAAACAAGUAUGGCAUGAGUCCAAGAAUAUAGUAGUGUAUAUGACAUAAGUGAUAGUAAAGAAUGCAAAGAAAAGAAUGAUGAAAAUAUUAUGACAUUUCAAUCCUAGAGUUAGGGUCAUUUGAGCAUAGUCUUCCUAAAGUUAAGGAAUGGAUUGAACUUGACAUCCUCAAGAUUUUGGAUUUGAUCAUUGAUCAUACUCACCUUUAGUCCUUGCUCGAGGUUGUGGUAGCUCCCCCUCGGGCGAUGUGCUCCGGAGUCGACAUCACUGGGUUGUAGAGAGUAUCUCCCCAGAGGACGGUCCCAUCGGGUGUAGCGAGUAUCUCCCUGAUUAUUGGGAUUUUGAGUUGGUGAGUUUGUUGAGGGCGAAACCUUCGGGUUAGCCAAGAGAUUGGGUAACAAGCACAUGAGUUGUAAUAAUAUCCUAGUUGAGUAGACUUAAGGCUGAGGUGCAAGUGAGACGUCCUUCGCCUCGAGCCUGCCUUUGCGCGGUACUCCGCGAAUGAUUGACUCGAGACCGAGUCGGGUGGGUAGUUGAUAAAGGUAAAUGAGACCUUAUGAUUAAAAUGGUAAAUGACAGAAAACCUUAAAUGUCAAUUGGAUGAAAGUAGUAAUCGAUUGAAUUACUAAUUGAUUGUAUAGUCGCAUCAUUGUAUGAUCUUCAUAUUGUAUUCGUGAGGCAAUGCAUGGUUUCAUUUGUUGCAUAAUCAAGAUAUAUAUCUAUCUGUUUAUUGAACUAACUUGCAGUUGCCUCCCUUGGACCUAUUGGUCGAGCUUUUCCCUUGGGUGGCCGUACCUACUGGAAACCAUGGAGUUGGUUCUCACCCCACGUGGUUUUGGAGUGUUACAGGUUCACACGUGAGCGGCGCGGCGGCGCGAGGCGAGGGCGUAGCAUCAUAGUUAGCGCCCUACCACCGAGACCAGAGAUAGCGGUACCCUGAGUCGGCUUGUUUAGGAUCGUAGAAAAUGAAAAGAAUCAAGUUGUAAUAAUCAUGUUAAAUCGGAUUGUAUUUGGAAGUUGAAUGUAAUAAGUAUUUGGGAUGUAAAAUGUAUGAAUGUGAAUGCUUGUAAUAACAAGAUUAUGUUUUUGAUACUUCCUUAUGCAAUCUUUGAUUGAAAUGUGUUCCUGGUUGAAACUUUGUACAUUGUAUUGAUUGCGACGCCUUGAAUGUAUAGGGGAGACUCUGUCCGCGGUACCGGAAAAACCCUAUUCGUUUGGCGGUCUGUUACGGCGCCGCGACCCGGCCAAAUAGGCGGGCGGUCGUGGGGCGUGACACAUCCCUUAAAUCAUACUAUUCAACCAACCACCCACUCAAUCCUAGGGGACCACUAUCAUCCUAAUCGCACAUCUAAUGCCCGAAAAUUUAUAAGUAUAAAAGGGUCUAUACUCAUAAGAGUAUAGUAACCCUAACAUAUAUAUAUAUAUAUAUAUNNNNNNNNNNNNNNNNNNNNNNNNNNNNNNNNNNNNNNNNNNNNNNNNNNNNNNNNNNNNNNNNNNNNNNNNNNNNNNNNNNNNNNNNNNNNNNNNNNNNAAGAGAGAGAUCGGCGUUGAGUGUUAGUUUAGCGACUUUUUCGGUCAUAUUAGAAUUUAUUAGAGCUGUUGAUUUUGAGGUUUUAUUUGUGGAACUUGGGUUGGAUUUAUUUGUGAAUGUUGGGUUUUGGGAUUUACUCUUGUGGUUUGGAUUUUGAAUUUAUUUGUGACUUAUGUGUUUGAAAUUGUAUUGCUGGAUACUUUUGGGUUUGAAAUUUAUUUGUUAACUUGGGUUUGGGGGUUGGAUUAACUCCUCUGCUAUUUGAUUUGGGAUAACCAUUAAGGAUCUCAUAUUGUUUAAUACUUCUCGAGGUUGGUUUGGGCUGAAAUCCGUUAGACUUUGGUUCUGAACCCACAGACUUGUUUGGUUGAACACGUUAUGCUUAGGUUGGGAAUCAUCAAUGCUUUUUGAGUUUGAACCGACUUAUGACUUUAGCUUCGGUUCAUCAGAUUCUUCAUGGUUGGAUUUGCUGAGUCGGGUCCCUUCAUGGUUUUGUUCGAAUCGGAUCUCAUAUUCGAUUCGGGUGCGGACAUCCACCUUUGGUUCGAGCUCGCCAUCGCAUUGAACUCGAAUCAACUCAUAGUCGGUUCAAAUGUCGGAUCUUUGGUUCUGUUCGAUCGUGGACCUCUUCAUUUCGAUCGAUCCUAAUCGGGUGAACCGAAUCUCACGACUCGAGUCCUUUCAAGUUGAUCUUUUCGUUCACAGAUUGACGCUACUUCAUUCGAGUUGAUCUGUCAUGUUUGGAUUAAGCCACAUAUCGUUUCGAGUCGAUCCAUUAAUGGUCUUGUACUUGGAUUGAUUUACUUUGUUUGUGUUCUGACCGGUGUCGUCAGUUCGGAUUCACUUUAGGUUCAAGUUUGACUGUUCGGUCGUAUGACAGGGAUCUGGUUCGAUUCGGAGUCCGGUUCGGUUCAACUCGCAUCCUUUUCUCGGCUGUUGGAUGCGAUCCACUUGGUCGAUCGGAAUCGAUAUUCGCCUUCGGUAUCGAGUUUCAAGUCAAAUCUAUGAUUAUGGUUCAAGAAACGAACGUUCGGAUUCAACCGACAGAUCCUCUUGGUUAAUCGAAUUCCAUUAUGAUUUUGUCAGAACGGGAUCGGUUUCGUUUCAGCUUCGCGGUGACAGGUAAUCGUCUAAGUCGAAUCCUUUAUGAUCCGUUCAGUUCGAUCCGUUUCGUUCAGAUUCAAUCGGAUUCACCGCUUGGUUCAGAGUCGAUCUUUAAUGGUUUUCGGUUCGUUAGAUCCGUUCAGUUCGACAGAUCUCCGUUCACUUUAGUUUCAUUAAUCCUUUAUGGUUCUGUCCGGAUCGGAUCCGAUUCGGUUCGGAUCAGAUCGGAUUCACUUUAGUUCAAGUUGAAUCCUUUAUGGUUCUGUCCGGAUCAGAUCCACUUCGGAUCAAGUUGGAUCCAUUAUGAUUUGGUUCAGACGGGAUCCGGUUCGGUUCAGCUUGGAUCGGAUCCGCUUCGGUUCGAGUCGAAUCCUUUAUGAUUCUGUUCAGUUCGGAUCCGGUUCGGUUCAGUUCAGAUCGGAUUCACCUUGGUUCAAGUCGAAUCCUUUAUAGUUCGGUUCGGUUCGGAUUCGGUUCGGUUCGGAUCAGAUCGGAUUCACUUUAGUUCAAGUUGAAUCCUUUAUGGUUUUGUCCGGAUCAGAUCCACUUCGGAUCAAGUUGAAUCCAUUAUGAUUUGGUUCAGACGGGAUCCGGUUCGGUUCAGCUUGGAUCGGAUCCGCUUCGGUUUAAGUCAAAUCCCUUGUGGUUUGAUUCGGAUCGGACCCAUUUUAGUUCAGGUUGGAUCCUUCAUGGUUUGGUUCAAGUCAAACUAGCUUGUAGUUUGAUUUGGUUCGGUUAAUGUCUUUAAUGGUUCAAUUAGACUUAUUGAUUAGACUUGAUCGGCUUAUAAUCCGAUUUGAUUUAUCAUUAUGGUUUAGUUGACUCGGGUCUAGUCUAUCACGAAAACGACGACCCGGUUUAAUUGAACCGAACUCGGGUCAAGCCUAUAACGAAGACGGCGACCCGGUUUAAUUAAGCGAACCCGAGUCAAGCCUAUCAUGAAGACGGCGACCCGGUUUAAUUAAACGGACUCGGGUCAAGUCUAUCACGAAGACGACGACCCGGUUUAAUUAGUCGGACUCGGGUCAAGCCUAUCACGAAGACGGCGACCCGAUUUAAUUAAGCGAACCCGAGUCAAGCCUAAUCACGAAGACAGGCGACACCGGUUGUUAAUUAACGAAAUACCGGUCAAGGCUCUACACGAAGACCGGCGACCCGGUUUAAUUAACCGAUCCCGGAGUCCAAGGACCUACUCACGAAGACGGCGACCGGUUUAAAUGAACGCGAUCCCGGGUCCAAGCUACUCACGAAGACGGCGACCCGGUUUAUAAUGAACCGAACGAGUCAGCCUAUCACGAAGACGGCGACCCGGUUUAAUUAACCGGAUCCCACGGUCAAGCCUAUCACGAAGCACGAGCGACCCGGUUUAUUAACGAUCCGGGUCAAGCCCUAUCACGAAGACGGCGACCCGGUUUAAUUAACCCGAUCCCGGGUCAAGCCUAUUCACGAAGACGGCGACCCCGGUUAAUGAACCGAAACCCGGGUCAAGCCUAUCAACGAAGACGCGACCCGGUUUAAUUAACGGAUCCAGGUCAAGCCUAUCAGAAGACGGCGACCCCGGUUUAAUUAACCGAACCGAUGGUCAAGCUAUCACGAAGACGGCGCCGGUUUAAUGAUCCGAACUCGGGUCAAGCCUAUCACGAAGACGGCGACCAGAGAAAAAUAUUUGUUAUCAUUUUUUAUUAUUUUAUUUUUGUGUUCUCAUUUUGGUCCGAAUCGAAGUUCAACCGUGUCGAGCCUAUCACGAAGACGGCACUCGGUAUGAUCAUAAGUCCAAUGAGGGCAACGAUCCAACGUCGAGAUUGAAAGUGUUGAGCCUAUCACGAAGACGGCCGCUACUCAAUGAUAACAAGGAUCGUCAACCGUCGCAGUCGCCUCGUGCGCACAAUCUUUUCUUUUGAUGUUGAGGAGAGACGGGCUUAAUGAAUACGCGCGCAUGAUAUAGUAACGAUUGAAUGUCAAAUUUGAUCGGAAUCGACCUAUCACGAAGACGUCGUGUUGAUCAAACCGACAUAAAAUCGCGCAGCUAUAUCGUUUCACAUGUAUCACAAAACCCAUCGCCGUCGUAGAAAAGAAAAAAAAAGAGGCCGCUAAAUGGCCUCUUUGCGCGUCGUCGAAGUGCGUCGUUAGCGCGCCAUUGUCGACGUCGUCACCGUUUUGUCGUCGUUGUCGUCGCGCCAUUGUCGAAGUCGUCGCCCGCCACAUUAUCGUCGUCGUUGAAUAAAAGGCCAAGCUUCUCCUUCUUCCCCUUUUUUUGGUACGAUUUGGGGUGAGAGGUGUGCUCACAGCACCUCCCUCCCUUUGUUGCUGACGCGCGGCAGGAGGAGAGGGGCGAGUGUUGCCUUGUGAUGCACACGAUGGAGAGAAGAAAAAAGAAGAAAAGAAAACUUAUUAUUUUUGUUUUUUUUUUUUACCUUCUUUUUUUUCUUUAUCUCAACUUUUUCUUUUUUCUUUCUAGUUCCUCUCAAAAAAAAAAACACUUACAUCUUGGAUCCAAUUUAUAGGGAUCCAAAGAAUCAGUAUUAUUUUGGAAACAAAAUUCAAAUAAACCUCUAAAAAGGAAUUAUAUCAUUCCUUAUAGCUUAUAAGGAAUUUAAGUAUUUGAUACUAUUUUUAAAUCCUUCCUUAUUUUAUUUUAUUUGAAAUGACAAGAUUUUUUUUUUUUUUUUUUUUUUUUUUGCUUUUUUCCAUCUUUCUUCCUUUUUUUUUUUUUUGUUUGUUUUCUCUUUCUCUUUUUUUUUUUUUUUUUUUUUUUUUUUUAAUUCGAACAGUAGGUCUCAUAGGUCUCAUAUAAACUGAUCGAAAUUAGUAUCCCAUCCGAUGUGGGACUAUUGGGGCGUUACAAUAACUAAAAAAAAAAAGAGGAGCAAAAAACACAUGGAUCUAACCAAAACAUAUACAAACAAUUGUUGAGAUAAAACCCAGAAAACGUCUAAGCAUCAGGGGAAAUAAAAAAUCAGUGCAUAUCAAUUAAUAUAAAAGUCCAAACAGUCAAAGAGCAACAUCAUCAUAGGCAAAAACAAAAAAAGAGGGGAACAAAAAUACAUGCAUCUAUAUAACCAAAACAUGUGCAGACAAUUGCCGAGAUAAAACUUACAAAACCUCGAAGCAUCAAGAGGAAAAGUAAAAAAAACAAAGCAAAAAAAAUUUAGGUAAGCUUAGCUUUUCAAAAGCACAUAGUUAUGAUCAGUUGAAUUUUUUAUAGUUAUGAUCAGUUGAAAUAACAUUCAACAUUGCACGCCACUCACAAUAAAGCACCAACAUUUUUUGAUGUACGCAGGCUGCAAGAAUCGGCAUAAGAAUGGCCAACCCGCCAUGCCUUAGUAGAGUUUGUAGCAUUUAUUCUGAAAUUCAAACAUUUGCUAUGGAGAAGACCAACAUCAUAUACUCCACAAAACCAUUAAUUUAAUUAAUAACUAAAAUACACCAUUACUCAGAUUAUAGUAAAAAACUCUGCACCAACAGAAUAAAAAAACAAAUUUGUUUAGCCUUUCUUCUCCAACAAAUGAAAAGGUAAUAGCAGAAAAAUAAUUGCCAACAUCUUGCACUUCAAAACAAAACGAAAACACGAAACAAACCAAUGCGUAUCCAAGAAAAAUAAUAUACAAAAAAAGGGCUCAGAUAGAUUCAUAAAUCUGCAAUUUCAUGAUUUGUCUUUUGUAUAUAUGGAGUUGUAUUAUUUUCCUUUCUUUUUGCAUGAUUUGUUAGGUAUCCUUCAGAUUGGAUCUUAUAGUUUGAUAUGACUUAUCUGUUUUGCUUUACAAAACUUACUUUCGGAUUGUAUCUAAACAUAGAAGGGUGACAUCAGUGACAGCUUAUGGAUUUAAUUGAAUGAGCAUAAUUGAUAGGCCAGGAUAUUUCACUAUUACUUCAGUCACUUGGGAUUUGUUUUCUAGUUUUACGGGGUGCUUAGUCAAACUCAGAUAAGAGGCCAGAUUUAUUAGGCAUCCUUCAGAUUGGUUCUUAUAGUUUGAUACGGCUUAUCUGUUUUGAUUUUAAAAAUAUACUUUCGGAUUGUACCUAAACAUAGAAGGGUGACCUCAGUGACAGCUUAUGGACUUAAUUGAACGAGCAUAAUCGGUAGGCCAGGAUAUUUCACUAUUACUGCAAUCACUUGCGAUUUGUUUUCUAGUUUUAUGGAGUGCUUGGUCAAACUCAGAUCAGAGUCCAGUUAAAUAUUUUGGUUAAUUUAUGGACUUACCAUACGACAAAUUGCCAAGGUUAGGUUACCUAAGGAGAAGUCUCACGUACAGCUAUAUCUGUAGAUGGGUCCUGCUUGGAUGUAAGGCAAGGCGCAUCCAUCUUUUCUUAUGCAUCAGCUGCCAGUAAGCAAAGAUUUAUUUUCAGCUGACAAUUUGUUCUAAAAGACCUUUUAGAUAUCAGUUUAGAUUGUCAUGUGAAUAUUUUGAAAUGCAAUCGCAAUCAUAAGUGAAUCUUUGACACUUUUGUGAGACAUAUAAUCAACGCCAUGCUCGCACUUAAAGGUUUUUGAUUGGCUGGUGAUUUAUGAUGAGAAAAGCUAAUUUGCAAGCAUAAAUGUGAUAUCAAAAUAAUAUAUACUUUACAUACAGAUUGUAUUGCAUAUACAUUUUUUUUAAAAGAAAUUCGAGUAUGCACCCCUUUCUUUUCCAAGAAAUAGGAUUGAAUGAUAGCAUGUACUUAUUUCUUGUACCUCUGCAGUAAAUUUUCACAAUUCCAAAUUUUGAGAAGAAUCAAAAGGCAUAAACUUAUACGACAUGAAUGAUUGCAAAUCUUGUAGCGGAACCUCUAUUUGUCCAAGUAGGAAUAAAAUGUUAUUCAAACCAUUUCAAUUGCGAGCUAUCAAUUUGCUAUCAAUUUAUAUGUUUUUUUUCUUUUUUUGGUUCUCACUCACUUCUUUUAAGGCGAUAGUAUCAUAUAGUAAGUAUUUUAUUCUUCAUACUAAUUAUUUAUAUACAAUUUUGUUGGCUUUUUUUUUAGUGUUGAGAUUCUAAUCCUGAAAAUGGUUUUAGAAGAUAAGAAUGCGGCCUCAGUUGGAAGACCUUGGUCCAACCUUGCAACACAUAUUCUUGAGUUGAUUUCAUCCCAGCUCUCUCCAUCUGAUCGUUCCCACUUUGCUUUAACUUGCAAGCAGUGGAAUUCAGUUGUUGGUCCUACUUUUCCUGCUGAUAUAUGUCCACUUUUGCUAAACUGUCCAAGAUGGGGUUCCAAUGUGAUCCGGUACUACAGUCCUUAUUUCAACAAGAAUUUUGAACUAGAUUGUCCCUUUGACUUGUCAGGUGCCACAUUAUGUUCUUCAAGCAAUAGGUGGCUGACGUUAGGCUGGGAAAAUAAGAUUAUGUUAGCUGACCCUUUCACUGGCAUCUCACAUGAGGUACCAUUGGAGGAGGUAUUUCUUUUCUCUCAAUAUGGUUUUUUUUGGGAUCCGAUUACUUCGAAACUCCAAAUCUUCGGCAUUAGUAACGGUGGCUAUGAAAAUGUUGAUAUUGGUAUUUUUGAUGGUGAAAGUUGGUUCUGGUCUACAUACGAGAGUGGUCUACCAUUCUUUGUCUUCACACUCUAAUCCAGUUUUGUGCCGAGGCAAUUUUUAUUCCCUAGGAUCAGGUGGAGAGUUGGGAGUGUACAAUCUAAAAGAGGAUACAUGGACAGUUCUAAUGACUAAGCCUAACAAGUUCAGUUAUGAAGAAUGCUACCUAGUUGAGUCAGAGGGAGAGCUCUUUUCGGUACUCAUUGGAAAGUAUGGAUUACCUCUUCAUGUUCUUCGUCUUGAUGAACGCGAGAUGAUGUGGGAAAAGGUUGAAAGAUUAGAGGGGCGAAGUCUUUUCUUGGGAUCACUCACAUCGGUUUCUAGUAAUAGUACCACAUUGGAAAGCAUGGAAAAUAAAGUGUUUUUUCCAAGGUUUCAUGGUGAUGUUGAAGUCAUUCGCGCAAAAGUAAAGUACUCUAGUGGCCGCUCAUUUUUUGUACCGAAGAUGAAUGGAGAGAACAAGAGAAAAGAUGAAUCUAAUAUAUGUUGGUACUCAUUAGCAGAUGACAAAUUUCAUCUCAAAUAUUUUGUGUCCAAAAAAUACGUGAACAGCAUAUGGAUUGAUUCUAUAGUUGCAAGUGAUUAAACUUGAGGGCAGCCUUUUUAUUUUUCGAUACCUUUAGGACAGGUUUGCUAUAGAAUCUAAAAGCUUGGAAUUCUUAAAUUUUAGAAUGUAUGCUGUGAACAAUCACGAAAUAGUUUUUACCAGCCAUUUCAAUUUUAUUUUAUCACUAGUUCGAUCAUUUCGGGUCCAAAAAUAGUAAUACUGUAUUUUAAAUCUAGUACCUUUAGUAGUGCUAUGUGUAAGAAGUGAUGUAACUUUUUUUUUAAUAGGAGAAAAUAAUACUAAGCUAAAUGUGUACUAUUCUUGCAUUGUUGUUUGAUUUAUGCUUGUAAGCAAAUGGAACUUUAUAACUGACCUUGACGAAGUAACUUGUUUGGUCAGAAGCUGAUUGGAUAGAAUCAAUUUAUAUGAGAUAGAGGGGAUAAAGUUGUUUUUGGUCAUAAAUGUUCUCUUAUGUUACUUGAUUUGUCAUAAAUUAAUUUUUUUUGCAACAUCACAUUUUCGAAACUCGAACUUCACUCCGGAUAAUGUCAAAGUCAAUUAUGAAAAAGUGAUAUGAAAAAAUAAGUAAAAUUUUAAGUAAAUAAAUAAAGAUGUGGGAUAAUUGCAAUUUGAAAGCCAUAGACUUCUUAUCAAAUAAAAAAUAGUAGAGAAAAAAAAUUUCUUGAAUUUCAGUUUAAUUGAAAUUUAUUUUCAACUUGAAAAUUAUUUUUGGACAAACGGUCAAAACUUCAUCACCUUAAUAAUAUUUUCCAUUUAUUCAAAUAAAGCUCCCAAUUUCACAAUUGACACGGCCCUGGCAAUCCAAGAGGGGGGUUGAAUUAGGUUUCUAAAAUAAAAAGCCAAAUAAUCAAGCAAUUUAAAAAUCCGAAACAAAUAAUAAAGAGAGGAGUUUAAAGAAAUGCAAACUCAAAAGGCACACAAUCGAUUUGUUUCGAGGUUCGGCACUUUGCCUACGUCCCCGCCAACUUCUCAACACUAGAGAAUGUUGGAUCUCCACUAGAUAAUAUUUUUGGAGGCAAGCACCAAGCCUUCACACCAACACAUUCUUCUUUUCAAACUCCAAGACUUUGCUUUUCUCUCUUUUUACAAGAUUAAAUUUCACUACAAAUUGCACUCAAGUUUAGAGAGAGAAUUGAAAGCUAAAAGUAUUACCGUAAACAUGAUUUCGGGCGCCCAGAUGUUGUGCACGUGCACUCUACUUCCAGCUGCCUGUCAGACAAUGUACGCUACUUUUUCUGGAUUCGUACAUUCGGGCCUUCAGAAUUUGUGGGCGCCCAGAAUAUGCGCGCUGACUUUUCUGACAUAGAUAGACCACGUGCGCCGUUUUCUCUGAGCGGAAUCAUUUUGGGCUUCCAGAAGAUGUGGGUGCCCAGAUUUCCAGCACGCGCGCUGCCUGCGUCGCGUCGUGCCGCCUCAGAACUUUUCGGGCUGAUCCGUCGUACUGUCCGGAACACACAAUCUGUCAAGUCAAAUAAUCCGGUCGCCCUAAACAGACAUUCGGGCGCAAAAAUCAGGUAAAGAAAUUUCUGAACCACCCAAACAGCAAACAGGCAUGAUCCAAAAACACAUGAGAUUCAGAUCCACUUUAGGGUGCCCAGAACAGAGUCUAGAAACAGUAACUAGACAGAAAACUGAUUUUGAGCAGAUUUUGAAUAUUUUAAGAACCGAUGAACUUUAUAAGAAGAUCUUUGGAUAAGAUUCACUUUGAAUCAAAUAGAUAUUUGUUCAAGUGAGCUAUGAUAAAAAGAUCAAACUUAGCUCAAAGUUUCUCACUCUAAUCAUAAAGCAUAAUAUUAAUCAAAUUAAGAAAUAGAGAGAGUGAGUUUGUCUAUUUGACUGUAACAUACCAGAUUUUGGUAUAAAAAUAAAAAUAAAUAAAAAUAGUGUGAGAUACUAUUUUCGUUCGACUUAGAGAAGUAAAACAUAAGUCAGAAAUGACUUGUGCUGAAAUCGAAAUGAAAACAGAAGAUCUAGAAUUUUCUGUUGGAAACGGGACAGAUAAAUUAGCAGAAAAUGCACAGUCUCAGAAAAUUAUGAAAAUUGGAAGAUAAGUCAAAAAUAUUUUUAUGAGGCUAGAUUUAAAGUUUCAUAUUUUUCUGGCACCCGUAGAGUGAGAAAUAAAAUCCGACAGCUAUCUGAUAAAGAUUACAGUUCGGUACAGUUUUCAGUGACCAAAUGAGGUCGAAACUGAAAACUUAAGAUAUAUUCUUACUCAGUACGUUAAACUGAGCCUGCCUGUCAAAUUUGAGCUCAAACGGACAUUCAGAAGAGCUCCAACUAUUCCGAACUGCUAAACUGCUGCCCGAGGUGAAUAGUGUAAUAGUUGAGGGGCUGAUUUGUAAAAAGGGAUUUAAUCCCUUUUCUUCUUCUCCACCUCAGCCGAAUGCGCACACACACACACGCCACACACACGCAAGGAGAGGGAGGAAGAGAACUCUCCUUUCUCUCUCUAAAUCUCUCCCAAAAGAGAGGGUUUUGGUGGCGAUUGAAGCUCAAGGAUGGAUUUUCAUCUUUCCCAUCUUCUUCCUUGAAUGAGAAGCAAGCUUUGAAGGUAAGCUCCAAAACCCUUUAAUGGUAUCUCCUUGUAGUUUGGGUUUUAAGCUUCAAGAAUGGAUUUAGAGCUAUUCUAGCAUGCUAAAUAGGUGAUUGUUGCUUAAAUCAUGGAUCAAUUUAAUGAUUUCUUGCCUAGUUGUAAAUCUAGAACUUGAAAUGAGCUUUUUGAACCCUCUCAUGGUAGAUCUUUAAAGCUUCAUUUAUAAUCCAUAGAAAUGGUAUAUUUGGAAUCCUAGCAUGCUAAAUAGAGGAUAAAUACUAGAAUCUAGGAUCAAUUUAGUUAACUCUUGCAAUAGAUGAAACCUAGGGUUCAAAAUGCAAUUUUUGGAAAUAUGAGGGUUUGAUCUCAUUUGACCCUUUAUAAACAUAAUUGCUAGGUAAACGAACGCGCUGGCGAAGUCGGUUCGGCGAUUCGUCGAGCCGGUACGAAGUUAUUAAAGAAACGGACGUUUAGGCUUCAUUUCCGCCUGCAGGGCUGAGCGACAUCGUAUACUCAUGAAAACGGAUUUGAAGCAUCGUGGCACGGAUCGGGCCAAACCGGAUGCCGGGUGCCGCGGGAGGCCGAUUGCAAGUGUCGACAAGUAAUCGGAUUGCGAAAUGAGGUGGGUUGUGCUCAUCGAAGCGACUAGGUCGCCUAUAUAUCUAAGAGUAAUGGUUUUCUAAUUGAUGCAUAUAGUUUAUGUUAUUUACUGUUGAGAUAAAAUGCAUAAUGACAUAUAAUGUGUUAAAUGCUAGAUGAAUGCAUGAGUUAAUUGUCACAUGAAUGCAUGAAAAUAAUGUUAUAGUAAUAUGUUAGAGGUAAUAUGCAUGUUGAUAAAUUAUGGAACAUGUUGGAUGGCAUAUGAAUAGUUGGUAUAUAUAUGUAGACAUAUUGUGGAAUAUGAUGAAUGAGUGCAUGUUGAUUUAUUGUAGAAUAUACAAGAUGAAUGUAUAUUGACAUAUUGUGGAUUAUGUUAAAUGACACAUGCAUGUUGAACUUGGAUCGAUAAACUCUAGGUGAAUUAGAGAACUCGACAUUGGAAAACAAUGACAUAUGAACUAUGAUAUGUGACGUGGACAAUCUAUAUAUAUUAGAUCGAAUGGCAUAUGAUUAGUAUAGUGGAAACACUUAUGGCAUGUUGAACACUUAGAAAAUACGUGUGUCAUGAGUCCAAGAAUAUAGUAGUGCAUAUGACACAAAUGAUAGUAAAAAAUGCAAAGAAAAGAAUGAUUGAAAUAUUAUGACAUUUUAAUCCUAGAGUUUAGGGUCAUUUGAGCAUAGUCUUCCUAAAGUUAAGGAAUUGAUUAAACUUGGAGUCCUCAAAUGUAGGAUUGAUCAUACUCACUUUUAGUCCUUGCUCGAGGUUGUGGUAGCUCCCCCUCGGGCGAUGUGCUCCGGAGACAACAUCACUGGGUAUAGCGAGUAUCUCCCCAGAGGACCGUCCCAUCGGGUGUAGCGAGUAUCUCCCCGAUUAUUGGGAUUUUGAGUUGGUGAGUUUGUUGAGGGCGAAAUCUUCGGGUUAGCCAAGAGAUUGGGUAACAAGCACAUGAGUUGUAGCAAUAUCCUAGUUGAGUGGACUUAAGGCUGAGGUGCAAGUGAGACGUCCUUCGCCUCGAGCCUGGCUUUACGCGGUACUCCGCGAAUGAUUGACUCGAGACCGAGUCGGGUGGAUAGUUGAUAAAGGUAAAUGGGACCAUAUGAUCAGAAUUGUAAUUAAUAUGAAUUUAAAAUAGUGGAAUAACUUCGAAGUCAAUUAAAUGAGCUUUGAAUAGCAGGAUUAAAGUAGUAUCGAUUGAACUACUAAUUGGUUGCAUAAAUCGCAUGAUUUUCAUAUUGCAUGGUUGUGAGGCAUGACAUGUAUUUCAAUUAUCAUAUAUAUAUAUAUAUAUAUAUAUAUAUAUAUAUAUGUGUUGGAUAUUUGUUGGACUAACAUGUUGCAGUGCCUCCUUGGACCUGUGGGUCGAGCUCUUCCCUUGGGUGGUCGUACCCACUGGGAACAUAUUUAUAUAGUUAUCACCCCUGUGUUGUUUUUGGGGGUACAGGUUCCCACGUGAGGGGCGCGGCGGCGCGAGGAGAGGGCGUAGCUCCGUAGAUAGCGCCCUACCACCGAGACCAGAGAUAGCGGUACCCUGAGUCGGCCUUUACUUAGGGAUGUAAGAAAACGAAAAGAAUCAAGUUGUAAUAAUUUUGAUUGUAUUUGGAAGUUAAAUGUAAUAAGUAUUUGUGAUGUAAAAUGUAUCUAGUGAUUGAGAAUGCUUGUAAUAGCAAGUAGAUUAUGUUAUUGAUCCUUCCUUAUGCAAUCUUUGAUUGAAAUGUGUUCCUAGUUGGAACUUCGUACAUUGUAUCGAUUGCGACGCCUUAAACGUACAGGGGAGACUCUGUCCGCGGUACCGGAGAAAUCCUGUCCAUUCGGCGGUUUGUCGGCGUGCCUAAAACUGACCAAAUAGGCAGGCUCGGGGCGUGACAUUGACAAAAGAAACAAGCAUAGCUUCAAGUAGUGAAGCUCGGUGCUAGAAGAUUGCUCAUCUUGAGUCCUUUUGAAAAUAGAGAGAUUUAAGACACAAAACUCAAGAUAAAAGAUUAGUCCAAUAAUCGUAAUUAUUUGUUAUCAUCAAAAUCUAAUGAAAGAUUAGGGCCAUUAGGCCAACACUAUCCCU
RNAcentral lists this long non-coding RNA (14261 nucleotides) under Ananas comosus (pineapple). Its description in RNAcentral is "long non-coding RNA (ACOM_LNC004032)". Lineage: Eukaryota; Viridiplantae; Streptophyta; Magnoliopsida; Poales; Bromeliaceae. The record is from RNAcentral.